CAAAGUCAGAGGCGGCUCCAAUGUUCUUCUUCUCUACUGAGUUCGAUCUCGACUCGCCUGAGUUCGAGCGAGCUCACUCAAAACGGUUCCCUCUCCACGUCACCUCUAUUCCCCAACAGAUUUGUCAGAGGAGUACGAUAUUCUCUCAGAAUUCUACAAUUUCGGAUUCAAAAGGACGAUUUGCUGGACUAAUGGGGGCCGUGGAUAGAUGUAAAUCGAUCCAUGCCUUCCAUUUGUCCCAAAAAUUGUUCAAAACAAACGUGAGGAUUUUUGAAUUCGGGGCAGAAGAUUCGAAAUUUUGAGGGCUAUAUAUAUAUGAGCUGGGAUUCUGAACUUUGGCACUGGUUGGAUUUUUGUCCGAAUUUUUGGUUGAAAUUUCGAUCUGGUGGGCUGACUGGUCGAGCUUUCGUUACUGCUGCUGAGUUCUUUCUUCUGUUUCGGAAUUUCGUUUGCUAUUUUCGGUUAUUUUUACUAAUAGGUAUGUUUCAACACUGUUGUAUUCAUUUUCUAUUUGAAUAAAGUUGUUGAUUUCUGGUUUGGCUUGCUGAAUGCUUGUGAUAGUAUGUUAACAUGAACUUAAACAGAUCUAUAUUAAAAUGAUUUCUGGAGUCAAGUGUUAGAGUUUUACUAGGUCGAGAUUUGAGUGCAAGCAUGAAGCAGCGAGUUUUGUUUUACUGAUCAACCAUUGUGAGAAGGAAUUUUGGUUCCUAUUUGUUUUGGGGAGUCAAGUUGCUGUAUUUUUUCUGAGUUUCCUUUACUGCAGAAUGUAUACCUUUCAUUAAGUCUCAAGCUAUCAUGACUACUGAUUUAAAAGUGUACUGUGAUUCGAGAA
Nicotiana tabacum (common tobacco) is the source of this 832-nucleotide long non-coding RNA. RefSeq lists it as uncharacterized. Lineage: Eukaryota; Viridiplantae; Streptophyta; Magnoliopsida; Solanales; Solanaceae. The record is from RefSeq and is a predicted model, not a curated record.